Molecule: ribosomal RNA, 903 nt
Filed under: uncultured Bacillota bacterium
Lineage: Bacteria; Bacillati; Bacillota
Description: bacterial SSU rRNA
Rfam family: Bacterial small subunit ribosomal RNA
Source: RNAcentral
UGGAUCCAGACUUUGAUCAUGGCUCAGGACGAACGCUGGCGGCGCGCCUAACACAUGCAAGUCGAACGAGAGAUGAGGAGCUUGCUCUUCAAAUCGAGUGGCGAACGGGUGAGUAACGCGUGAGGAACCUGCCUCAAAGAGGGGGACAACAGUUGGAAACGACUGCUAAUACCGCAUAAGCCCACGGCUCGGCAUCGAGCAGGGGGAAAAGGAGCAAUCCGCUUUGAGAUGGCCUCGCGUCCGAUUAGCUAGUUGGUGAGGUAACGGCCCACCAAGGCGACGAUCGGUAGCCGGACUGAGAGGUUGAACGGCCACAUUGGGACUGAGACACGGCCCAGACUCCUACGGGAGGCAGCAGUGGGGAAUAUUGCACAAUGGGGGAAACCCUGAUGCAGCGACGCCGCGUGGAGGAAGAAGGUCUUCGGAUUGUAAACUCCUGUUGUUGAGGAAGAUAAUGACGGUACUCAACAAGGAAGUGACGGCUAACUACGUGCCAGCAGCCGCGGUAAAACGUAGGUCACAAGCGUUGUCCGGAAUUACUGGGUGUAAAGGGAGCGCAGGCGGGAGAACAAGUUGGAAGUGAAAUCCAUGGGCUCAACCCAUGAACUGCUUUCAAAACUGUUUUUCUUGAGUAGUGCAGAGGUAGGCGGAAUUCCCGGUGUAGCGGUGGAAUGCGUAGAUAUCGGGAGGAACACCAGUGGCGAAGGCGGCCUACUGGGCACCAACUGACGCUGAGGCUCGAAAGUGUGGGUAGCAAACAGGAUUAGAUACCCUGGUAGUCCACACCGUAAACGAUGAUUACUAGGUGUUGGAGGAUUGACCCCUUCAGUGCCGCAGUUAACACAAUAAGUAAUCCACCUGGGGAGUACGACCGCAAGGUUGCAACUCAAAGGAAUUGACGGA